GAUGAACGCUAGCUACAGGCUUAACACAUGCAAGUCGAGGGGUAACGAGAGGAAGGCUUGCUUACCUUGUCGACGACCGGCGCACGGGUGAGUAACGCGUAUCCAACCUGCCCCCAACUAGGGAAUAACCUUGCGAAAGUAAGACUAAUACCCUAUAAUUUCCUCAGAUGUCAUCUGACGAGGAAUAAAGAUUUAUCGGUUGUGGAUGGGGAUGCGUCUGAUUAGCUUGUUGGCGGGGUAACGGCCCACCAAGGCAACGAUCAGUAGGGGUUCUGAGAGGAAGGUCCCCAACAUUGGAACUGAGACACGGUCCAAACUCCUACGGGAGGCAGCAGUGAGGAAUAUUGGUCAAUGGGCGGAAGCCUGAACCAGCCAAGUAGCGUGCAGGAUGACGGCCCUAUGGGUUGUAAACUGCUUUUAUACAGGAAUAAAGUUAGCCACGUGUGGUUAUUUGUAGGUACUGUAUGAAUAAGGACCGGCUAAUCCCGUGCCAGCAGCAGCCGCCG
This 506-nucleotide ribosomal RNA is filed under the name uncultured bacterium. RNAcentral describes it as "partial 16S ribosomal RNA". It matches the Rfam family "Bacterial small subunit ribosomal RNA", at positions 28 to 523 of the family's 1533-position model. The record is from RNAcentral.